Molecule: long non-coding RNA, 4709 nt
Organism: Triticum aestivum (bread wheat)
Lineage: Eukaryota; Viridiplantae; Streptophyta; Magnoliopsida; Poales; Poaceae
Exons: 5
Source: RefSeq, a predicted model, not a curated record
CCUCCCCCGCGGCCCGCCGCCUCGCCCGGCCGUCCCGCUCGCCGCGGCCUCCUCUCCUCCCCCGCGCCCCCCUUCUCCCACCUCGCCGCCGCCUCCUCUCCCCUCCCGCGCCCCCCUCGCCCUGCCCGUCCAAGCUCAGGGUCGAGGGGCGCGACCCCUUGCGCGACGAAAACCCUAGCCGCCCCCGUCGCUCCUUGGUCCUUGCAGCCUCAGCCUCAGCCACCGCCGCGCCCCUGUCCCCCUCUCCUCCCCGUUCCUCUCCUGCCGCCGUUCGCCUACUCUGCCCGGUCGUGCUCCCUUCGCCUCCUCCGCCUAGAUGUGCGACUCGAGCCGGCAAGAUCCAGCCAUGGCAGCCAACUCUGCCCUUCCCGAGCCUGACGACGAAGGGGUUGGUGAGCGCGGUGGUGGCCAUGGAUGAACUCGAGCCCGGGCGUGUGGGCGUGUUGGUGGAGCCAUCUAUCUACCCGAGGGAGCUAAUUCGGUAAUGGAAAGACCCGACCGCCGCUCAGGGGCAUUCUGGCAUCUGCCGCCGCCGAUCUAGAUCUAGCUCCAGAUCAGAAGUGGCGGAUGGGAGCCCAUCCGAUCUAUUUUCACUCCGAUGUGCGAGCAGCCGAUGCACCUAAACUCGACCAUGAUUGGAAACGCAGGAAGCAGUACCGUAAUGUGCUUACACAGAGGGCAACACCAAGCAAGAUGAGCUAUAUUGAAUGGUGUAUGUUGAGCUCUAAAGACAAGCACGGCCCUGACACUGGCAGCCGGACAACUCGAGUGUGGCGUCCAUGCUGGCGUGCAGUGGCUUCAAGCGGCUCUUCCCGGCUUCCCACCACCGUCGUCGGCCAAGCGCAUCCGUGCGCUCCUGCCAUGGCGGCACGGCUCCGUCAAGCCCAAUGGGGCAUCCAUCCCUGAGGGCAGCGAGCUGGAGCUGGGCCUGGACAAGGGAUUCAGCUUUUCCAAGCACUUCUUCGCCAAGUACGAGCUCGGCAAGGAGGUCGGAUGUGGCCACUUCGGAUACACCUGCGCCGCCAAGGCCUAGAAGGGCGAGCACAAGGCCAGGACAUCGCUGUCAAGGUCAUCCCCAAGGACAAGUUGUGUGUGCUUCACCUUGGCUUGCCUUUGCUCAAUUUGGUGCACUACUAGAUUAUGAAUCUCUAAACCAGUUGGGGCUUGUGAUUGGUGUUUAUGUUAGUUGGGUGCAGAUAAUGAGAAACAUAGUAAGGUACGAAUGCUACUAAUUUGUUCCUCACAUGCAUAGACAUAAAGAAAGGUGAGGAUCCACAUGUGCGUAUGUUCUAUCAUUUUUCCCUAACAAAAUUUUCAGCAAAUAGCUAGGGUCAAAAAUGCAAAGCAGUUGAACUAGAAAAUUGUGUACCACAUGAGCAGUAUAUAACGAUGGAUUGUUAUCGUGGGUGAAAGCAGUUUAUCACGAUGGCAUUGUUACGAUUUUCCUGCCAAUUAAAUAUGGCCAAGAUGCUUCCUUUCCAUAAUAAAUUUUCUUCCGACCAACUGACUUUAUUUUGUGUAUCUCCUUUUAGUUUGUUGAAUCAGGCUUGCCAACUAAGCAAAACCAAGAUACGAAACCAUGCCAAACAAAAGAGAAACCACUAAAACUUUAUAUAUUUUUGAGCUGUACAGUAGGGUAACUUCCCACUGCUAUUUUUAUUAAAAGCAAGCCAAAACUAUUUUUUGCGAAGUGUACAGGAGGAAUGUAGGUGAAAUUGUAUUUGAUGCAUAUUCCCUUUGUUCUGACUUCUGUUUGAUACAUACUCUAUUUUAGAAAAUAUAUAGGAUAUAGCCAAUAGGGCAAGUUUAUGGUUACAUUUAUCUUUACGAUGCUUAUACGAAGAAUGUAGAGGAAAAUAUAUUUCACAUGGCAUUUCAGUUUCUGAAUUUUCCCUCGACUUUUAUUUUUUUUUCAUAUAUUUUCUUUUUAUAUUGUUUAUAUUGCACAAUGAUAAGGUUUCCUUAUUUCAUAUUUUAAGAUACCAUCUGCUUGGUCAUCUCAUAGGCUCAUAGCUCUUUUUGUUUGUGUUUGAAUAUAUUUUAUGAUUGAAAAUUUGAUGUGGGACUGGGAAAAUCUCAGUUCUAUGUACAUGAUUCUUCUAUUUUUUUCAUGGUGUUGAAUGUCCUCAUAUAUACCCGUUUGUUAUGUUUAUGUCCUAUAAAUAAUGAAAUGGUUUAUAUAGAAAGUUUUUAUGUUUUUGUUAUAGUAUGUUGUCGAUGAUGUGUUUGGUCUGGAACAUGGAGAUUAACAUUAAAAUUUUCGUAUCUUCUAUCUUUAUGCUUUGUUAUUUACUUUAUGCAACCCAGAUUUUCCUAUUUUGCACUGCCACUGGCUUGCUUUCGGUGUCGUAUGACCCAACUCUUUUUGCUGAACUUGACGCGGAUCAAUUGUCCUGUCUUGCUUUUGAAACAUAUUAAAUGUUUCUUCUUUGUCAUGAUCUUGACAAUCAAUUAUCCUAUAGAUACUAAAGUCAUUAGUUCUGAGCGAAUAUUGUAAUUUCCUUUGGAUGUACUAAGCAAUUUAUAGUAUAUUGACAUGUUGGACCAUGGCGCUGGGAUGGGCAGCCUGCCUCAAAGGCGCACUUCCGGUCGACACAUGAUGGUCAGACUUAGCACUGGAGGUGUUAUGAGACAGGCCCGAAUGAUGAUGGCCACAAUAUAAUGUUACUCUGCAGGCUGCCGCGGACUUGGUAAGCAUGAUUCUUCCUCACCUUAUUAUAUUACCAAUCUGUCGCACAUGUGUGUACAUCCUCAGGGUGUCUAUGUGGAGCAUAUAGUACACGAUUGACUAAUAGUAAUUUAGUUUUGACUUCCACCAUACCAGAAUAGUUUUAUGAUUGAACUAUUGCUGGUAUGCUCCUCUUGCUUUUCUAUUGCCUAGCUUUAUUUAGUUUGCAGCAUCAAGGAAUGGUGCAUUCUAAAAUAAGAAAACUGAGGUUGUGAUAACUUUAUUGAAAUGCUUUCAGAUCCAUCUUAAUUUCUUUAAAGGAGUAGCCACUGCCAUUUCAAAGUUGUAUAGUGUUCUCGCUGAAUACUCAUGUCCUUUAAAAGUUUAAGUUUGUCUUAAAAGCUCACCAUGUUCCUUUUAACAAAAUUAAUGCAAUGAUUUGCUAUGUCUGACAAAGGCUGGUCAAUUGGGCAUCGACUGAAACCAGUCAAUUUUUGGCUCUUACUCAUAUAGUUAUUCAUAUGAACUUAUUCAAUUAUGUUUGGCAUGGUCCAUAGGUGAUUAUAUGACCUAUUCCAUUUGCUUUUCCUGUAGGCCAUGGAAGUUAGUGGGGUUUUUGGCUCUUACUGAUAUAGUUAUUCAUAUGAAAAUAAACAUGUGAUGAUUGGGUUUCACGUAUUGGUGAGGAGGGUGCUUGAUUGGUUCAGAACCCUAGCUGGUUCUCAUAUUUAUGUUUGAGGAAUCCGUCGUUUGAGAAUUUGCAAUGGUUGUCGGUUAGGUUCACGACAUGGAGACGUUAACAGUGUUCUCCAUCAAGAUGUUAACUGAACUUCAAAAGAAAUCAGUUGGUUGUUUGUCCAAAAUUAUUUCAAACCUGAGAACUUGGGGUUGCUUAGAGUUAGAUAUUUUGUAAAAGGUUGUCGUGCUGCUAUACUACUGAUGAGUCACAAAGGGUCGAGUUAAUUGCUACAAUACUAACUCUAAUUAGCAUUACUAGCAUAUUUAUCAUUUCCUUAAUUGUUAAUAAUAUAUGUAAUGCUCACUCUGCUUCGACGGUCAAUCCUUGACGCCUGUCACAACAAAGGUGAGUCAACGGUUUGGUUCCUCUAUCCCUCUUUCUCUACUUUAUCCACACUCAAAUCUCACUCUUCUGGCUCAGAUCCAGCGCACAACGCAUGGUGGACGUGGACAUUAGAGCUGUUUGCAAUAAGGGAUCUCCAGGCUCGGCAUCAUCGAGGACAAGAAUCUCUGAACCAAAGGAAGAUGACUAUGUAAUACUGAUUCCCCAUUCCCACAUCUUUGCCCUCAUGCUUCAAGCUCUCAAGUUGCCCCCUGCAACUUACCAUCACAAGACAUGUCCGGGUAACGAGUCACAUGAUGGUUACUUUCAAUUCAUCGUUAUAGUUGAUCGAUGGUUUGCUUGUUCCAACCUCGAUAUCUGGUGUGAUCUCAAAGAACUAUGAUGAUGCAGAAGACAGCGCUGCUAUCGCAGCCAUUAGGUUUAUGGAGGAUGCAUGUGGCAAGGAAAUUAGGGAUUAUCACUACUCCCACGUUAAAAGCUGGAAAAUCAAGUCACACACUUGGUAAAGUUGCUGGUUGCAGCAAACAAGACGAUAAAGAAGGUGCGCAGAGGAUGGUACUAUGCUGUCGGAUACAUGAGCUCGUAUUCUACCCAGAUAUAGAAUACGACAGUUGCCCGACACCUAAGAGGGCAGGACAACACCAAAAGGGCUAUGAAAACAGCACUCACAAGCACAGGAAAGUUGGCAAAAAGGCUACAUUAUAUUGGCAUGAAAUCGGAGCAGUGCCUGGACACCAGGGAUAGUAUCUGGUGAGUUCGGUCAGCACAUCGUACCCAACAUGCUUAGGGAGCAUUGCCUUUGCCCUUUUGAUGUUCUUCUAUAUCCUGUUAUGUUUGUAAUGGAAGGUACCACCUGGUAGUAUGUUGCUGUUCUCACUUUGCUUUGAACAAGUCAUGUAUAAACUUUAAGUUUUAGUUCCUAUCUCUGUGUCGUAAACAAUGUUCUUGUGUUCUAUCUCU